RNAcentral lists this transfer RNA (66 nucleotides) under Agrilus planipennis (emerald ash borer). It matches the Rfam family "tRNA". Rfam says of the family: Transfer RNA (tRNA) molecules are approximately 80 nucleotides in length. Their secondary structure includes four short double-helical elements and three loops (D, anti-codon, and T loops). The record is from Rfam by way of RNAcentral. Lineage: Eukaryota; Metazoa; Arthropoda; Insecta; Coleoptera; Buprestidae.
CUUGUAGCUUAGUGGUUAGAGCAUUGGUGCGUCAAGCCGAAGGUUCCGGGUUCGAUUCCCGGCGAG